UACAGAGGUCCCGAGCGUUGUUCGGAUUCACUGGGCGUAAAGGGUGCGCAGGUGGGUUGGCAAGUUUGAUGUGAAAGCCCCGGGCUUAACCCGGGAAUGGCAUUGAAUACUGUUAAUCUGGAGGAUCGGAGGGGGGACUGGAAUUCUUGGUGUAGCAGUGAAAUGCGUAGAUAUCAAGAGGAACACCAGUGGCGAAGGCGAGUCCCUGGACGAUACCUGACACUGAGGCACGAAAGCCGGGGGAGCAAACAGG
Molecule: ribosomal RNA, 253 nt
Filed under: uncultured prokaryote
Description: partial 16S ribosomal RNA
Rfam family: Bacterial small subunit ribosomal RNA
Source: RNAcentral